Molecule: long non-coding RNA, 399 nt
Filed under: Mus musculus (house mouse)
Lineage: Eukaryota; Metazoa; Chordata; Mammalia; Rodentia; Muridae
Description: long non-coding RNA chr15:12575694-12576093
Source: RNAcentral
GGGCAUCUUGGGCUACACUGAGGACCAGGUUGUCUCCUGCGACUUCAACAGCAACUCCCACUCUUCCACCUUCGAUGCCGGGGCUGGCAUUGCUCUCAAUGACAACUUUGUCAAGCUCAUUUCCUGGUAUGACAAUGAAUACGGCUACAGCAACAGGGUGGUGGACCUCAUGGCCUACAUGGCCUCCAAGGAGUAAGAAACCCUGGACCACCCACCCCAGCAAGGACACUGAGCAAGAGAGAGGCCCUAUCCCAACUCGGCCCCCAACACUGAGCAUCUCCCUCACAAUUUCCAUCCCAGACCCCCAUAAUAACAGGAGGGGCCUAGGGAGCCCUCCCUACUCUCUUGAAUACCAUCAAUAAAGUUCGCUGCACCCAAAAAAAAAAAAAAAAAAAAAAA